CCCGCAAGGGCUGAGACCUGGCCUGACAUUUAGUGCCUACUUGAAUGUCACAACGCUCCUCGCAGCAUUAUGCACGGCUCCUAUUCAUAAGAGGUCGAUUAGAGCACAAAAUGGCAGGUCUCUUAGGCACUUGAAUCUCACAAGUUUGACACAUGAAUAACCCCCUUCAUUGAUACUGAUCACCCAACAUCACAAGACAUCCCCAUCUCUCAGCGUGGACUCCCCCUAUCUGCUAGAAGCAAAUCCUCAAAAGAAGACUGAUACACCAAGCAAAACCAGUGAAGCUCAAAGACUGCACAAAUUGCAAAGAGAAAUACUUCAGAAUUCUUGGAUACUUAAUUGCAAGAUUAUCUUCUAAAGUUUGCAUUAUUGAUGUGAUGCCUGGCAGCAGUACUCUAGUUAAAAGUGUGACAGCAUUUCCAUUAAGAAACCUUUCUGAUGGUUAACUUGGCCAUCAGAAGUCACCUUGUGCUUCAUUUGGCACACAAAUUCCCAGUCACACUGCAGAGCCGGACCAUGGGAGCUGUUCCUCUCUUGUACUCUGUUGGGUAAGGGCAGAACUGCACACACAAAAUGUGUGCACACAAUUUUUGUGCUUGUGAUUCUACAAAUCUGGACCCGUUUGUAUUAAAUUACAGGAAAAUAUGCAAAGUCCUGCAGAUUCCUGUGUUAAUUUGCAUGCUUUUAUCAUAAAGGCUAUCGUAGUAAUCAUAGUAUGCCAUCAUAGUAAUCUUAAUAUACAUUGAUAGACUACACCAUAACCACUCCAAAAAGCCAUUAGGGUUUAUUUAUAAACAUAUAAUAAGAAUUCUAGGCAGAUUCAGUACUGCACAAUUCAAUAUUUUUUUAUUAUUAUUAUUAUUCACUGACACCUGUAACAGGAGUGGAGCCAUUGAACCUUACAUGGCUAAAGUACCAGACUAAGGUUUUGAACAGAACCUGGAGCAGUUAGGCUGACAAUUUUCAAUGAAAUUUAACGGUUACCUAAUUGCCAGGCAUUGCUCUGAAGAUUCCUAUCUAAAUGAUCCAACGAGCACCUUUUACUGUGAUCUACCGACAUCACUGGCAUCCUGGCUCCAGGAAAACAACACUAUUUAAGCUCUCCAGGGAUUUGCUGUAGUUUCAAUUUCACUCUCACUGCAAGAACACCUAACUGCUACGACAGUGAGCCCUGUCCACUGCAGUGAGGAGUUUUACAGGCACAGACAAUGAUGGUACAAUCCAUCCUGCUGUACCGAGGCUUCACAGGGGGGCUACAAGCAGUCCCUUACCACAUGGACCCUGUACACUGCAAAGUUAAAUCCCAGCAUCUUCCACAGCUAAGGCUACCUUCAAUUUUCUGGUCACUCUUACGGGACUGGUAAUGUUAAACACUUUUUUUUUUUUUUUUAAUAUUAUCAUCCUCAGGAGAGCGGGACUCGUUAGCUUUUUUGCUGCACUGAACAAUUACAUUACAUGAUUAUGUCCAGACUGUUAAAGGCAGUGUCAGAGCAGCCUCCAACAGCCAUCACAUGCAGCCUUCACAAGAACCUGCUGCACACCCUACUGACAUGUGCCCAUGCAUCAAUUGACAAAAACAGGAAACCUUAACUUGACAAAGACUCUACGUUCAGGUACCAGCAGACCAUGAUUUCUGAAAGCCAAGAUCUGGAAUCAGUGAAGCUCACUUCACAAUGAUGAAAUAUUUGUCAGAUUGUAUGUGAUGACUCAAUGAUACAGCACUAAAUGGUAGUAUAUAAAAGCUUCUGUAUAUGCAUCCACAAACACACAAAUACAUCCAUAUAUAUAAUACAUGUGUCUGUAUAUACACAUAUAUGGAAGUGCAGGUACAUAUAUAUAAAACAUACACACAUAAUGUAUAAGAUACAUGCAAAUGCACAUACAUAGGUAUGUGCAUUCAUGAGUAAACAGAGAUCUCAAAGUACUGAGCAGCUGCCUGUGCCCAGGAGCCCUUUAGGCACACACCAGCAAUGCCACUUUAAUCACGGGAACACUUUUGCAUGGAGGGUAAAGUGGCUUGUCCAACGCCAUUCAGCAAAUGAAAGAAUAAGCCAGGAACAGCUCAUUUGAGCUGCAGUUCAGUCUUCUGGCCUGGUCACAGACUAACCCAUAUAAUGUCACCCUGUGCUGCCAACCACAUCCUCUCCUUAAAGUGCAGCCAGUAACAGCUCAGCUCCGUUAUAAGCCAUGCUACUGUGCAUAAUCAGACACAGUCUAUGAAUGAAAUGUGUGUCUUAUAAUUAGGUCCACACAAAUGCUGAAACUUCAAAAUACAGUUUAGAAGGGUUUCCAGUACAUCUGAUGCCACAGGCAUCACAGCUCUGCUUCUGGAUAUACCAGCUGCCGCUCCAAGGCUUAGGCCAACUGUUGCUGCCAAAGGAUACUCAGAUGAUGUGCAGAACUGGAACAUGGAGAAAAGAGUUAUUCGUCAUCUUUGAUGUUGAUACUUCAAGGGAAGUGCAGGAUCCUCUCCCAGCAACCAGCAUGCUCAGACAUCCUCCCUACCUUGAUGUUUGGCCUGCUAUUGCUAUGGCUUGGUUUGAUUUUAGGCAUCGGUUGUCUGUAAAAGGGUUAGAAAUGUGGCACACUAAAUCACUACCCACAAUGAGUAGUGCACAAGUAUCUUUAUGUGUCUGUUCUCUAUCGGAUUCCAACCCUUUCCAGAUGAAGUUAUAAAUGGAUUAUUUGAUUUCAUUUUUUUUUCUUUAUAAUCUUAAAAAGUCUUAAGAGUAAGUGAUUCCAGAGGGCUUCCAUAUGAUUUGCCAUGAUUUCAGAGCUGACAGUAUACAGGCGCUGCUAGUGUGAAGGGCAGAAGCCUUCAGGAAAAGGACCAUCGUGUUCAAUAUUGCAAGGAACAUAGAUUUUUAUACAAAGACACUAAGAUCAGCUCUUAUGUUACCAAAAGGUGCAGGAGGAAUACUUACAUAGAAGAUCAAAAUCAGCUUGGUUUAAAUACUGGAAUUUCAACCAUGUUUUAAGUAAUUUUGGAAUGGUUAGGGGAAGGAGGGAACAGGCUCCCUCUCAAACUCCUUGUAGUCCAUCCUGAUGUGUUUUGUUACCAUGUCCAGAACAGAUGAAGUUUUGGCCCUUAUAACGACACUUGAGAUUCUCCAGAUUCUUCCAUAAAAGACUCAGGCAUUUCUGCUGCAGCCACUUCUCUCUCUCUCUCUCUGUGCUGGACAAGCUGCAGGGUGGUAGCCCUGGUGGCACUGGUUAGUGAUUUCUGGCAAUAGUCAUUUUGUUUCUGGGCUAGGAAUUCCUGUAUUCCCUGAGAACAAGACACAGAGCACUCACCAUUUCCAAAUGAGGACAGCAACAGUGCUGUUCCCUGUAUCUGCUCAAUUCAAGCAAUUUCUCUAAGCUGCCCAUCAAUAAAGACUUGCUUUUUGUCAAAAUACUUUGUGAAAUCUAUAUUAGACAAAGUCUUGCAGUCCUUUUCUACUGUCAAGAGAAAGGAAUAGUCAGGCUCAUAGUCAAAAUCACCUUCAGCCAAACCCCCACUGUCAGACAAGUGCAUCAUCGUGGAUUUUGGAUUGAUGAACUACUGUAUUUUAGCUUUUCUGCCAAAGCAACAUGGGUCUCAUCAGCAGGAAAGAGAAUAGAGCGAGACAAAGAUGAGAGGCAGCACAACACACUACACCUAUGCAAGGGCUGCCAACAGGAAAAAAGGGCACUCUCUGGAAGGGCAAAGACACAGAUGUAUUCGAAGGACAGACAAAGACGCACAGAAGAAGAGGAUGGAGGUGGUGCUUGGAAGGCAUGUUAACAGGGGAUGCUUCUGGAGUUUCUUGGGGAGAGAAAAUGCCAGCAAAGACUGCAAAAAAUGGGCAAGUUUUAUCACGCAACCAUUGAGGUGGCAAAAAACAACUUCACCAUUUUUCUAGCACAUGGUACAGAAACAGCUGAAACAACAUGAUACAUGACCCCGCCAGAGGACAGUGGCCUUUGGAGGAACACUCAUGCAGCAGCUCCUGCAUCUGUGCGCCUUUCCCAUUUUUUGACAAGUACCCAUAUUCUCUGAGCUAUAAUACUUGUGAUCAUGACCUCAUACAAUGACUUCCUGAGACUCCAGUCUGUAGCUCUCCAACUCCCUGGCUUCCUUUCCACCCCACCAAUAUAUCUGGCGGCAGCAUCCCCCACCUUGGGUCUGUUCCUGAAAUGCCCUGCUCAUGCCCUGUCACCACCGUGACGCCUCCACCAGCUAUGCUGGUGCUGGCCGCUGGCCUCGUGCUUCUUACCCAUGCACUUGUGUCCCUUCACAUCCAGCAGUACAGCAAAAGGAUAAAAGAAGAAUGCAGAUACUGGCUUAAAAACAUGUAUUUUUCUUUCUCUUUCAGGUUUAGAGGAAUUUAUCUUUUGUAUAUGCUGUGCUCUUACAUGCAUGCACACACUAUAUGCACACACACAAUAUAUAAAUAUAUAUCUGUCGGGGGAGAGAGGUUUAAGACUAAGAACUUAUUUUAACUUCAAACUUGUUUGGUUUAAGACGUAAAGAGUUUAAGCCAGAUUUAUUUUGGGUGACAAGUAUUUCUUACAUCUAAGGCAUAAAUAUUUUCUCCUAUUUUAACAACAUCUCUUCCCUUUGAUUUUCUCACACAUGUUGUAUUUAACUAAUAGAGUACAAAUACCAAAACAAUGGAAUAUCCAGGAUUAACUCAGCAAAUGCCAUUAGAUUUUGUGCAGGCAUAGUAUAGAAAUGGCACAAAAAAAACCUACUUUGGAUUCUUAAGGAUCAUUUCCAGUGAUUCAUUUUCAAAAACGAAGGGAUUUUUAAUACUUGAAAAAUUCAAUAUAUUUCAUGGAGUCAUUACAUUUUGUACAGUUCUGAAAUAAUGCCAAUUUUGCAACUUAAUUUGUUAAAAUGAUAAUAAACGAGAAGGCUGUCACUAGACAGAG
Molecule: non-coding RNA, 4896 nt
Organism: Anas platyrhynchos (mallard)
Lineage: Eukaryota; Metazoa; Chordata; Aves; Anseriformes; Anatidae
Source: RefSeq, a predicted model, not a curated record